CGCGCAUAGCUAGUGGUGAGGUAACGGCUCACCAAGGCGACGAUGCGUAGCCGACCUGAGAGGGUGAUCGGCCACACUGGGACUGAGACACGGCCCAGACUCCUACGGGAGGCAGCAGUAGGGAAUCUUCCGCAAUGGACGAAAGUCUGACGGAGCAACGCCGCGUGAGUGAUGAAGGUUUUCGGAUCGUAAAGCUCUGUUGUUAGGGAAGAACAAGUGCAAGAGUAACUGCUUGCACCUUGACGGUACCUAACCAGAAAGCCACGGCUAACUACGUGCCAGCAGCCGCGGUAAUACGUAGGUGGCAAGCGUUGUCCGGAAUUAUUGGGCGUAAAGGGCUCGCAGGCGGUUUCUUAAGUCUGAUGUGAAAGCCCCCGGCUCAACCGGGGAGGGUCAUUGGAAACUGGGAAACUUGAGUGCAGAAGAGGAGAGUGGAAUUCCACGUGUAGCGGUGAAAUGCGUAGAGAUGUGGAGGAACACCAGUGGCGAAGGCGACUCUCUGGUCUGUAACUGACGCUGAGGAGCGAAAGCGUGGGGAGCGAACAGGAUUAGAUACCCUGGUAGUCCACGCCGUAAACGAUGAGUGCUAAGUGUUAGGGGGUUUCCGCCCCCUUUAGUGCUGCAGCUAACGCAUUAAGCACUCCGCCUGGGGAGUACGGUCGCAAGACUGAAACUCAAAGGAAUUGACGGGGGCCCGCACAAGCGGUGGAGCAUGUGGUUUAAUUCGAAGCAACGCGAAGAACCUUACCAGGUCUUGACAUCCUCUGACAACCCUAGAGAUAGGGCUUUCCCUUCGGGGACAGAGUGACAGGUGGUGCAUGGUUGUCGUCAGCUCGUGUCGUGAGAUGUUGGGUUAAGUCCCGCAACGAGCGCAACCCUUGAUCUUAGUUGCCAGCAUUCAGUUGGGCACUCUAAGGUGACUGCCGGUGACAAACCGGAGGAAGGUGGGGAUGACGUCAAAUCAUCAUGCCCCUUAUGACCUGGGCUACACACGUGCUACAAUGGACAGAACAAAGGGCUGCGAGACCGCAAGGUUUAGCCAAUCCCACAAAUCUGUUCUCAGUUCGGAUCGCAGUCUGCAACUCGACUGCGUGAAGCUGGAUCGCUAGUAAUCGCGGAUCAGCAUGCC
RNAcentral lists this ribosomal RNA (1129 nucleotides) under Bacillus sp. BAB-3952. RNAcentral's name for it is "bacterial SSU rRNA". It matches the Rfam family "Bacterial small subunit ribosomal RNA", at positions 235 to 1358 of the family's 1533-position model. The record is from RNAcentral. Lineage: Bacteria; Bacillati; Bacillota; Bacilli; Caryophanales; Bacillaceae.